GACGAACGCUGGCGGCGUGCUUAACACAUCGCAAGUCGAGCGGUAAGGCCCUUUCGGGGGUACACGAGCGGCGAACGGGUGAGUAACACGUGGGUGACCUGCCCUCAGCUCUGGGAUAAGCCUGGGAAACUGGGUCUAAUACCGGAUAUGACUCCAUGACGCAUGUUGUGGGGUGGAAAGCCUUGUGCGGCUGAGGAUGGGCCCGCGGCCUAUCAGCUUGUUGGUGGGGUGAGGCCUACCAAGGCGACGACGGGUAGCCGGCCUGAGAGGGCGACCGGCCACACUGGGACUGAGACACGGCCCAGACUCCUACGGGAGGCAGCAGUGGGGAAUCUUGCGCAAUGGGCGAAAGCCUGACGCAGCGACGCCGCGUGAGGGAUGACGGCCU
RNAcentral lists this ribosomal RNA (388 nucleotides) under uncultured bacterium. Its description in RNAcentral is "bacterial SSU rRNA". It matches the Rfam family "Bacterial small subunit ribosomal RNA", at positions 28 to 417 of the family's 1533-position model. The record is from RNAcentral.